GACCAGACUCUUGAGCCUCGGGCGCCGUGUUUCUGCGCGAGAGAGGACCUCCGCCAGUCACUUUUUCCGCCCAAGGGGGAGGAUCCUCUGGGCCUUCCGUGCUGUGACGUCGGGAAAGACGGGGUCGACCGGCGUCCAGGAGUGUGGCAAGGGUCUCGCGGUCUCCGCGGUCCAGGGCAUGGACAAGCGCCGAGGCGCCUGCGUGAUCUCGGACUGAGGGAUCUGCGCCGUGGGCAAGGAGCAACGAGGCCACUGCGGCACCCCCACCCCCGGCGCAAGCGUGCAUGAGCGCCGUGCGCCCUAGGCGGUCUGCGAUGUUGGGGUCUGCGCCUUGCUCCAGGAGACUGUGAGCCCAAAUAGAUACCUGAAUGUCCGCAGAAUUUCUGCCAGGCCAGGAUUGGAGACGCGGCCAUGGAGCAGCUGGAAUGCGGGAGCCGAGUUCCAGGGGGCUCAUAUGGCGUGGUGGUGGUGGUGGGGGGUGCCCGGAUUCCCCUGGUGUCAGUAUCUGCGCCCCAGCGCCGGAUCCUGGUCCCUCCUCCCGGUGCGCCCCGGGCACAGCGCCGGCUCUGGAGGAGAGAAGCUGGGGGGGGGGGGGGGCGGAGCUCUGCUGUGCUAUUUAUAGCCCAGUCUCUGCGGGUGGGGGCGUCGGCACCAAACCGCUCCCCACCCAUGCACACAUAAACCCUGAAAAACCUA
This is a long non-coding RNA of Marmota monax (woodchuck), 696 nucleotides long. RefSeq lists it as uncharacterized. The record is from RefSeq and is a predicted model, not a curated record. NCBI's taxonomy places the organism in Eukaryota, Metazoa, Chordata, Mammalia, Rodentia, Sciuridae. The transcript has 3 exons.